ACUAUAUCUGUUCUACGAACUGCGACGAACGGCAUGUAGGCUAUGUUGCUAGCUAAGUUAGCCACUUACCAGGCCACGUGUGUGUGUGGUAACAUGAGUGUUUCUACAUUUUUAGAUCACCAUUGCUGAAGAUACAUGUUGAGAACAGUCCAGUGAUCGCACUGUUUGUCUAUUAUCAGAAUAAAUCAGCUCAACUGG
Molecule: long non-coding RNA, 198 nt
Organism: Anguilla anguilla (European eel)
Lineage: Eukaryota; Metazoa; Chordata; Actinopteri; Anguilliformes; Anguillidae
Exons: 2
Source: RefSeq, a predicted model, not a curated record